ACACAACUUGUUUUUUUUAACGACCAUUCUUAGAUUGAUGAUAAAUAUGCACUGCCUAGAAUCUAGAGAUUUGCAUUACAAUAUCUUCGAUUGUUUGCACUUGCGUAAAUUUUCUGAUUUGGUAGUUUCUGAAUUGUUUUCGAAAGCUGAUGAGCAAUGUUUGUUGAUUAUGUAUGCAGAAACAUAAUGUACAAGCCACCUCAAUUUUAUUUCUUACGUGUCGCUUUAUUUUGAGUUGCUUGAGUCUCUCCUCUUUUGAUAGCUUUACUCGAUAUUGUUUUUUUAAUAGCAAAAUCACGGGUUGACAUUAAAAUUGCAAAUUGCGUGAAAUUUUUUUUUUUGCUUGUGAUGUAAUAAGCCGAACAAAACAACAGAGAGGGCACGACGAGAAACAAAAAGGUAAGAAGAUCCGUGAGGAGGAGGAGGAAUAUU
This 432-nucleotide long non-coding RNA is filed under the name Capsella grandiflora. Its description in RNAcentral is "long non-coding RNA (CGRA_LNC000004)". The record is from RNAcentral. Lineage: Eukaryota; Viridiplantae; Streptophyta; Magnoliopsida; Brassicales; Brassicaceae.